Molecule: ribosomal RNA, 489 nt
Filed under: uncultured bacterium
Lineage: Bacteria
Description: partial 16S ribosomal RNA
Rfam family: Bacterial small subunit ribosomal RNA
Source: RNAcentral
UAGGGAAUCUUCGGCAAUGGGGGCAACCCUGACCGAGCAACGCCGCGUGAGUGAAGAAGGUUUUCGGAUCGUAAAGCUCUGUUGUAAGUCAAGAACGGGUGUGAGAGUGGAAAGUUCACACUGUGACGGUAGCUUACCAGAAAGGGACGGCUAACUACGUGCCAGCAGCCGCGGUAAUACGUAGGUCCCGAGCGUUGUCCGGAUUUAUUGGGCGUAAAGCGAGCGCAGGCGGUUUGAUAAGUCUGAAGUUAAAGGCUGUGGCUCAACCAUAGUUCGCUUUGGAAACUGUCAAACUUGAGUGCAGAAGGGGAGAGUGGAAUUCCAUGUGUAGCGGUGAAAUGCGUAGAUAUAUGGAGGAACACCGGUGGCGAAAGCGGCUCUCUGGUCUGUAACUGACGCUGAGGCUCGAAAGCGUGGGGAGCGAACAGGAUUAGAUACCCUGGUAGUCCACGCCGUAAACGAUGAGUGCUAGGUGUUGGAUCCUUUCCG